CCUUUCCGGAGGGGGUACUUGCGGAAGGAUCAUUACUGAUUUGUUUAAUUGCACCACAUGUGUUUUUUAUUGAACAAAUUUCUUUGGUGGCGGGAGCAAUCCUACCGCCAGAGGUUAUAAUUAAACCAAACUUUUUAUUUCCAGUCAAACUUGAUUUAUUAUUCCAAUAGUCAAAACUUUCAACAACGGAUUUCUUGGUUCUGGCAUCGAUGAAGAACGCAGCGAAAUGCGAUACGUAAUAUGAAUUGCAGAUAUUCGUGAAUCAUGGAAUCUUUGAACGCCCAUUGCGCCCUUUGGUAUUCCAAAGGGCAUGCCUGUUUGAGCGUCAUUUCUCCCUCAAACCCCCGGGUUUGGUGUUGAGCAAUACGCUAGGUUUGUUUGAAAGAAUUUACGUGGAAACUUAUUUUAAGCGACUUAGGUUUAUCCAAAACGCUUAUUUUGCUAGUGGCCACCACAAUUUAUUUCAUAACUUGACCUCAAAUCAGUAGACAGCCAUU
This 497-nucleotide ribosomal RNA is filed under the name Candida tropicalis. RNAcentral's name for it is "eukaryotic LSU rRNA". The stretch from base 175 to 328 matches the Rfam family "5.8S ribosomal RNA". The record is from RNAcentral. Lineage: Eukaryota; Fungi; Ascomycota; Pichiomycetes; Serinales; Debaryomycetaceae.